AUUUGUAUAGUUUAAAAAAAACACUACAUUUUCAAUGUAAAAAUAAAAAAUAUUUUACAAAUA
Molecule: transfer RNA, 63 nt
Filed under: Ischnomera caerulea
Lineage: Eukaryota; Metazoa; Arthropoda; Insecta; Coleoptera; Oedemeridae
Description: tRNA-Glu
Source: RNAcentral